Molecule: long non-coding RNA, 4462 nt
Filed under: Nicotiana benthamiana
Lineage: Eukaryota; Viridiplantae; Streptophyta; Magnoliopsida; Solanales; Solanaceae
Description: long non-coding RNA (NBEN_LNC038079)
Source: RNAcentral
CAAAAAACAGUAAUAGGGGUAUUCUUGUGAAAAAACAGUAAUUGGAGUCUCUAAAAAAGGUUCGAGUUUAUGUCCGAAGAAAUUUACACUAAUUUUAAUUUAAGGAAUGAUAUGUGUCAACAUCAUAAGUCUUGAUGCAAAUUUCUUAAAUCAGAUCUGGCACGUUGGUUUGAGAAGAGAAGGUUAAAUCCUAGCCAUUCAUUGAAUACUUUUCAUUUCAGAUGAGGAAAGGGCAUUAGAAGUUUCCACACGUGAAUAGCACAUGCACACACAUUGUAAAAAAUAGUUUUCUGUUAGUUAGUUACACAAUUAGCCAAUAGGAAAUAAUACAAGUGUUUGUGAAUAUUUAUUUACAUUCUUUUGUAUCUAAAACAUAGCUUUGUAUUUAAGGAGUAGACUAUUGUGAACAAAAUUACGAGGAGAAAAAUUCAGAAUGUUAGUCUUUUCUUUCAUGGUAUCUGAGCAAAUCUAGCUUGAUCCAUUCACAAAAUUUCUUAUGUCUCUAUCAUCUUCAAUCUGUGGAUUAAAUCAUAAUUGGUACAAAAGCUGCAACUAAUAUUUCUGUUUCUGGAUCCACAAGCAGUGGAGCAACCAAUGACUCCAAUUACCCUUAUCACUUGCACUCUUUUGAUACUCCAGGAAUGGCUUUAGUGAGCUUACCAUUUGAUGGGCGAGUAUUCCCAGGAUGGAAGAGGUAUGUCCCUAUUGUAAUCUCAGCCAAGAACAAGCUUGGCUUCAUUAAUAUAUCUUGUGCAGAACCAACAAUAGAUAACAAGGAUUAUUUAUUGUGUAGCAGAUGCAAUGACAUGGUCACCUCAUGGUUGCUCAACUCUUUGACCAAAGAGAUAGGUGACAGUGUCAUCUACUCAAGAACAGCUAAGGACCUUUGGAGCAGCCUGGAACACAGGUUUGGGCAGUCAAGUGGCGCUGAGUUAUACCAUCUGCAGAAGGAAAUUUCAACAACAAUUCAGGAAACCAACAACAUAUCAGGUUAUUUCACUACUCUUAAGAGACUAUGGGAUGAACUGGACUUCUUUAACUCACACUUAGGGUGCACUUGUGCAUGUAAUAUGAUGGCAAGAAGAAGAUGGCUAAAUGCACGAAAGACCAAAAGGUCAUUCAAUUCUGUCUCUCUCAGAGUUCCACACUUUUCAUCCCAUCCUACAACAGACCUUACACCAAUCCCAGAUGAGUCUUACACUCCUUCCUACUCACUUGUCCACACAUUAUCCAAAAUUGUGAUUCUUACAGCCAGGGUUAUUAAAAGCGCUCGCUUCUCGCUUUAAGCGACGAAGCCAGGCGAGGCGCAGGAGUUACGCUUUUCUGGAAAAAGAGCGACUCACAUUAGAAAAGCGCACGCUUUUCUCGCUUAAACGAGAAGCGACGAAGCGAUAAAAGCGUUAAAAAGCUCGCUGGCUGAAGCUACGGUUUUUUUUAAAAAAUUUUGGGCAAAUAAACAUACGCUCCAAAGGCAUCUGUUACCAAUACAUAUGCGAACGACCACUUCUGUUCAUCUUCUUCUUCUUCUAGUCUUCUUCUUCAGUUCUUCUGUUCUUCUUCUUCAUGCUCUGUAUUUUGUCUUCUUCUGUUAUACUUCUUCUUUUCUGUUUUUCUUUCAAUUUUUUUCUCCAGAUUAUGCUCUGUUCAGCUAAAGAUCACUGCUGUUCUGUUUUUCUUUUUGUUCUGUUAUUAAAAGUGUUGUUUAUGCUCUGUUUUCUUCUCUUUAUGCUCUAUUUCUGUUAUUAAAAGUGUUGCUUAUGACUUUAUGCUCUGUUUUCUGUUUAGGGCAGUGAAUUAAUUGUUUUCUUUUUUUUUUUUUGCAUUUGCUUAAGAUAUUAAGACUUUUGAGGAUUAUUCACUAUCUAGUUUUAGUAUCUUUUAUGAAACAUUUGCUUAAUAUGUUAUUUUUAAUGAGUUCUUAGCCAUUUAUCUAUGCCUACUUUUUUAAUUUUUUUAUGUGUUAAAUUACGCUUCACAGCAAAAAAGCGUGCGCUUUGUUUCACGCUUCUCGCUUCUGUGAAGCGAGGCCUUGUCGCUUUUUUGCGCUUUUAUUAUGAAAUAUUUGCUUAAUAUGUUAUUUUUAAUGAGUUAUUAGCCAUUUAUCUAUGCCUAUUUUUUUAUUUUUUAUGUGUAAAAUUACGCUUCACAGCAAAAACGCGUGUGCUUCGCUUCACGCUUGUCGCUUCUGUGAAGCGAGGCCUCGUCGCUUUUUUGCGCUUAACGCUUUCCAAAACACUGCUUACACCUCCACCGCCUAUCAGGAAGUCUGACAGAGUUUCUCAAAGACCUGCUUAUUUGAAGGACUAUGUGUGUAAUGCUAUCAUUCUCUAUGAUCUCAUUAGUUAUUAUUUCAUUCACUCUGCUACACCUAAUGUUUUCUCUUUUGGAGCUCUUUCUGCCACCAAUCAAUAUCUUGUUCAAUCACUAUCUACUAUAUCUGAACCUAACAGCUAUGCCCAAGCUUUCAUACACCUAGGAUAGAAAGCAACUAUGGAAGCAGAUUACAUCAUUACAAUUAAAUCACACUUGGGAUGUGGUAGAUUUUCUUCUAUGGAAGAAGGCUUUAACUUGUAAAUAGGUGUACAAGAUAAAACAUCACUCAGACGAGACAGUAAAAAGAUUGAAAGCUAGGUUAGUUGUUAGGGGGACAUUCAGAGAGAAGGGAUUAACAAUUUUGAGACCUUUUCACUAGUAGUCAACACGACUACCAUAAGGUAUCUUUUGACACUGGCUAUAAAGAAAGGUGGGAGAGUAUCACAACUUGAUGUGAAUAAUGUAUUUUUCCAUGAAGAAUUGCAGGAAGAGGUUUAGAUAAAAUUCUCUGCAGGAGUUUUCCCACCUAAACCAAAUCAAGUAUAUCUCUUGAAGAAAUAUUAUGGGUUAAAACAGGCAUCAAGACAGUAGUACGCCAGACUUGCAGGAGCUUUAAGUUUUAAAGGUUAUUUUAGUUCACUCAAUGAUUAUUAUCUUUUCUACAAAUAGAACGUAGCUCUUGUUUCUAUCCUAGUAGUAUAUGUAGAUGAUAUCCUACUCACAGGUGAUGAUGCAACAAAGAUCGAAAACAUUACUGGUUUUCUUAAUUCAGAACUUAAAGUGAAAUAUUUAGGUGAUAUUCAUUAUUUUCUUGGAAUGGAAAUACUCGGAGAAAACCAAGGGUUAAUUAUCAGCCAAAGAAAGAUUACCUUAGAGUUGCUAUAGGAGUUCGAUUGUUCAAGAGAUCGGAUUUCUUCACCUCUUCAUCCUUCCACUAAGCUUCAAGCAGAUUUGGGGCCACACUUGGAUGACCCAAGCCUUUAUCACUAUCUAGGUGGUAAGCUUAACUAUUUGACGAACACCAGACCUAACCUUUCAUUUGCUGUUUAGUUUCUGAGUCAGUAUAUACAAAAGCCUUCUUUUUCUCAUUUUACUGCUGCUCAACGCGUGUUAAGAUAUCUCCGCACAGAUCCCUCACAAAGAAUUCUUUUAUCUUUACACUCUUUCUUUGAUUUGAUGGCCUUUUGCCAUGCUGAUUGGGCGGCCUGUCGCGAUUCUAGACGAUCAGUGAGGGGGUUCUUCAUUUCUCUUGUAGAUACGCUUAUUUUCUGGAAAUCUAAGAAGCAAGAUUUUAUUUCUUUAUCCUCUGCUGAAGCUGAAUAUAGUUCCAUGCGUCGUGUAACGGCAGAGACCACUUGGGUCAUUCAUUUUUUGGGAGAUCUCAUUGUCCAGCCUACCUAACCAGUGCCUAUUCAUUCCGAUAGCUAGCCGACGAUUCACAUAGCUGGCAAACCAGUCUUCUAUGAAUGCACCAAACAUGUAGAGCUGGAUUGUUAUUUUGUUCGUCAACAAUUUCUCUUUGGUUUGAUCUCUUUUUUUUCAUUGGACUGUCAGCUUCCCGAUUUGUUUACCAAACCUUUAUCUGGGGGUUCUCAUCGACGUAUUUUAUGCAAGCUGAGAGUUCAUUUUCUCCCUGCCACCUUGAGGGGGGACGUUCAAGGUCAGAACCCCCAUGUUAAUUCAGAGGAUGGUGAAGAAGAUAAGCAUCCAAGAGAGAAGGAGAAGUGUAGAGUUUCAGAGUCUCCAUAGAAAGGUUUUGAGUUUAUGCCCGAAGAAAUUUUGUACUAAUUUUAAGAGGAAUGAUACAUGUCAACAUUGUGAGCCUUGAUGUAAAUUUCUCAAGAUUAGAUCUGACGCGUUGGUUUGAGAAGAGAAGGCUAAAUCCUAGCCACUCAUUUAAUAGCUUUCAUUUCUGAUUAGGAAAGGCACUAGAAGUUUCCACACUUGAAUAGCACGUGCACACACGUUGUAAAGAAUAAUUUAUAUUAGUUAAUUACACAAUUAGCCAAUAGAAAAUAUCAUACGUGUAUAGGAAUAUUUAUUUAUAUUCUUUUGUAUCCACACAUAGCUCUGUAUAUAAGGACUAGACUGUUGUGAAUAAAAUUACAAGGAGUGUUAUGAAAUAAUAUAAAAGACAAGAACAAUAAUG